Long non-coding RNA from Danaus plexippus (monarch butterfly), 1890 nucleotides. RefSeq lists it as uncharacterized. Lineage: Eukaryota; Metazoa; Arthropoda; Insecta; Lepidoptera; Nymphalidae. The record is from RefSeq and is a predicted model, not a curated record. The transcript is spliced from 3 exons.
CGUAUUUACUAGCUGCUUGCACGGAGACGUUCAGUCCGGUCAAAGGGAUUAACAGCUUCAUUCAAGCUACAUAACCCGAUAAUUAAUUAAAUUUUGGAACAAUCACACUGUCUAAUAAAAUCCGGCCUCUUCCGUCCGCCCGUUUCUGCCAAUUACAUAGCGUCUACCUUCGGUUGGCAGCCCUGCAAUAUAACGGUAUUGGUCAUGUACGUAGGAGGAGCGGAGAGCUGAGCGGGUAACAUCCUAUGGAGAGAGCUAUGCUCAGAGUUUCUCUACGGGAUCGAAACAGAAAUGAGAAGAAACGUAGAAGAACGAGAGUCCCGUACGUAGCCAAACGGAUUGAAUCUUUGAAGUGGCAGGGGGCAGGCCAUAUAGCAUGAAGAACAAAUGACCGUUGGAGCUGAAGAAUUCUCGAAAGGAGACCACAUAUCGGACAGCGCAGCGUUGGACUUCCAUCGAGAUGGACGGAAGACUUAGUCCAGGCCGCGAGUCUACUCGGCAGGUGCAGGCACUUCUGAUUGAAGUAAUGGAAGUCCAUGAGGGAGGCUAGGCUCCAGCAGUGGACCUCACACGACUGAGAUGGAUGUAAAAUGUUUAUUUACAACUAUAGUAAUUCAGUAAAUUUACAUCGUACUGUAUAGAAACUUUCCAGUUUUCUAUUUAUAUAUUAAAAUCACAGUAACAUGGAAACAUUAAAGAAAAUUUUUAAGAAUGUCAUACUUUAGUUUGAAAACCAAAAAGAAGUUUCAAUUGUUGAAUCUAAGUUAUAUGUAGAUAUCAAAAUAAUACAGUUACUUACGACUACCUAUAAUUUAUAAUAUUUAUAUAUUUUAUAUUUGUUUAUUACAUAUAAUGUUUCUAAAAACAUAACAACACAUAAAUAUGUUUAGUUACUUUUAAAUAAAAACAGUAUAUAAUUUUAUUCGUAAAAUAUAUCACUAGAAGAAAUAUACAAUCAUGAAUUGCAAGUAAAUUUUAAGAUCCUUGUCAACUGUAAGCUUCGUUAGCGAUGCCGUAACAUGCUUUAAGACGCUGCUAGUAAUCUCUUCAAAAUUAUAAGGAAAUUUUGAGUUGGAAUAUUAGAAUUAGUAAAUAAAGGGAGCUGUAAUAUUUGUAUCGGAGUAAAAGUUUCAAUGUGAAAAACUGAAAUCAAUAAUUGCAAAUACAAUUAUAAAAUAAUAUGUACGUUUGUUUUUUCACACAUGUAUUUUUUUCAUAUACAUUUUUAAAUAACAAAAAUAAUAUUCAUUCAUUUAUUGAUAUUUUACCAACACGAUAAUUAUUACAUGUUUAACAAUAUCGCCUCAUAGUUGAAAAUUUCAAAAAUACUUGAUACUUUUAUAAUAAAAAAAAAUAUGUAAAAAACGCUACAUCUUACCCUCUGCUUGUGAAACGGUCGCAGCCCGAGCAAGGUCUACGCCCGACGCGCUACCGCCUACAACUCGACGUAGCAGUCCAGUGCUACGCCAACCGUCGUGAAAGGCACUCAUGCACUUCAUCAUUUAUAUUCUAAUAGUUUUUUAACGAUUUGAAAUUUUAUUGGAGAUAAUUAUUAUGAAAUUAAUUUUCAACAGUAAUUUGACCUGAAUGUUUUUAUUAUUUCGACCGUCCUUCAUACCGUAUGAAUAAUUCUAUAUGUAAAUUUAAUUAGUUCACAAUGUUUUGUAUACCAAAAUUAUAUAAUUAUAUUUGAAUUAGUAUAAUUCUGUUUUGAAUGAAAAUCACUGAUAUAAAUCUUGCAUAUACAUUUAUAUAAUCGGUUUGGUGACGUCAUGCCUUAUAUUAAACGAUAAUUCUGUAUUUCACAAAGUGUUAGAAAUAUUCUGCUUUUUGUAAAAUUCUAUUUGUGAUUGAAAUUAAAAUGUAAAAGUGUGAUUUAUUUACUAAAUA